Molecule: ribosomal RNA, 795 nt
Filed under: Tubakia sierrafriensis
Lineage: Eukaryota; Fungi; Ascomycota; Sordariomycetes; Diaporthales; Tubakiaceae
Description: partial 28S ribosomal RNA
Rfam family: Eukaryotic large subunit ribosomal RNA
Source: RNAcentral
ACAGGGAUUGCCCUAGUAACGGCGAGUGAAGCGGCAACAGCUCAAAUUUGAAAUCUGGCCUCGGCCCGAGUUGUAAUUUGCAGAGGAUGCUUUUGGUGCGGUGCCUUCCGAGUUCCCUGGAACGGGACGCCACAGAGGGUGAGAGCCCCGUAUGGUCGGACACCAAUCCUGUGUAAAGCUCCUUCGACGAGUCGAGUAGUUUGGGAAUGCUGCUCUAAAUGGGAGGUAAAUCUCUUCUAAAGCUAAAUACCGGCCAGAGACCGAUAGCGCACAAGUAGAGUGAUCGAAAGAUGAAAAGCACCUUGAAAAGGGGGUUAAACAGUACGUGAAAUUGUUGAAAGGGAAGCACUUGUGACCAGACUUGGGCCGGGCGGCUCAUCAGGGGUUCUCCCCUGUGCAUUCCGCCCGGUACAGGCCAGCAUCGGUUCUUACCGGGGGAUAAGAACGGCAGGAACGUGGCUCGCCUUCGGGGGAGUGUUAUAGCCUGCCGUACGAUACCCUGGCGGGGACCGAGGUUCGCGCUUCCGCAAGGAUGCUGGCGUAAUGGUUACUAGUGACCCGUCUUGAAACACGGACCAAGGAGUCGUCCAUUAGAGCGAGCGUUUGGGUGUAAAACCCGCACGCGUAAUGAAAGUGAAAUUAGGUGAGAGCUUCGGCGCAUCAUCGACCGAUCCUGAUGUUCUCGGAUGGAUUUGAGUAAGAGUUUUAACGGACGGACCCGAAAGACAGUGAACUAUGCUUGUAUAGGGUGAAGCCAGAGGAAACUCUGGUGGAGGCUCGCAGCGGUUCUGACGU